Molecule: long non-coding RNA, 465 nt
Organism: Oncorhynchus keta (chum salmon)
Lineage: Eukaryota; Metazoa; Chordata; Actinopteri; Salmoniformes; Salmonidae
Exons: 3
Source: RefSeq, a predicted model, not a curated record
GAGAGACAUUCAUGGUUUGAAGCCGAUGGAAACAUGGCACCAUGUCAGAUUAUUUGCCCAGUAUGUGUUUUGUCUAAUCACGGUCUGCAAGGUGAAGGUAUGGUAUAUCACAGACCAGUAUGUGUUUUGUCUAAUCACGGUCUGCAAGGUGAAGGUAUGGUAUAUCACAGACCAGUAUGUGUUUUGUCUAAUCACGGUCUGCAAGGUGAAGGUAUGGUAUAUCACAGACCAGUAUGUGUUUUGUCUAAUCACGGUCUGCAAGGUGAAGGUAUGGUAUAUCACAGACCAGUAUGUGUUUUGUCUAAUCACGGUCUGCAAGGUGAAGGUAUGGUAUAUCACAGACCAGUAUGUGUUUUGUCUAAUCACGGUCUUGGUGCUGACGUUUUCCUUUACGGUGGGUGUUUCAUUCAAUUCCAGAGCAACUCUUGCAUCAGUAUUUCACAGUGCAACUCCACAUGUUAAAAC